Molecule: long non-coding RNA, 606 nt
Filed under: Rattus norvegicus (Norway rat)
Lineage: Eukaryota; Metazoa; Chordata; Mammalia; Rodentia; Muridae
Description: long non-coding RNA NONRATT007294
Source: RNAcentral
CUUGCAGCUCCUCCGUCGCCGGUCCACACCCGCCACCAGGUAAGCAGGGACGUCGGGCCCAGCGGGCCCCAACUUUACCUUGGCCACUACCUCGCUGCAGGAUCGUGAGGAACACUCAGAAGGGACACCGUAGAGGGGUGGAGCGUGGUACCGGGCCGCGGAGCGGACACUGGCAAAGCUUAACUUUCCGCCUAGGGUGUAGAGUGUUUGCAGUCGUAUUCCCGCGGUGUAGACACUCGUGGGCACGCUCCUGCUUGGUGCGCGGGGCUUGGGGACACACUAGAGUCGCGGUGUGGGCAUUUGGAGAGCCGGUGCGGCUUGCGGGUGUUAAGCCGCAUCUGUCCACCUUGAGGGGACACAGUAUUGGGAGUCAGGCGUUACAAUCACGCUUUGAUGGCCUAUGGGUCUUUGUCCAAACCGGUUUUGCCCAUUCGGCUUGGCGGGCGCGGCGGGGCCGGCUCGGCCGGGUGGGGGCUGGGAUGCCAUUGCGCGUGCGCGCUCUAUCACUGGGCAUUGGGGCGCGUGCGCGCUGGGGAGGGAACUCUUCCUCUCCCCCUCUUCCGAGUUAAGAGUUGCGCGUGCGUAUUGAGACUAGGAGCGCGGCCG